RNAcentral lists this long non-coding RNA (1252 nucleotides) under Canis lupus familiaris (dog). RNAcentral's name for it is "lncRNA (ENSCAFG00000052228.1)". The record is from RNAcentral. Lineage: Eukaryota; Metazoa; Chordata; Mammalia; Carnivora; Canidae.
AACCAAGGAGUCUCCUCUCAGAAAGAGAGGUCCAUUGGAACCUUGGAGGAGCCACUCCCUGAAUGUGUGUGGAAAAGUGGAUCCAUGUAUUACAGCCAGAAUUUUCCUGCAAGAAAUAAUAUUCCAAUCAAUUGUGAUAAGUACAGUUAGCAGACAGCUUCCGGCUGAGGAGAUUGUAUUAUCUAUUACAGCAUUUGAGCCAAGACCUUCCUCUUUCCAGUUAACCUCAGCCACUACCUGAGCAUGUUCAGGUACUAAAGUUUUAGGGACAUACCUAGUAUGUGAUCCAAACCUUUCCUCUUGAGAGAUCUGCAUACCUGGAAACCAGAUCUUUCUUACGAUAGGAUCGCUGUGCAUGUCCAAUCAUAGUCACUUGGGGACAAGGGAGGAUUAGACAUGCCUAAGCAGUUCAUCUAUAUUCCACAUACAGUCCUCACUGCCUUCAUAUGUAGCAGGAACCCUAGCUUUUUCCUGGUGAUGAGUCAGUUACCCCUGCUAGGAUGGUCAAUUGGCAACAUGACUGCUGGUCCCAGGAUGCCAUGAAUCUAAAGGACUCUGUUAAUGUUUGGUGGAUUUUCUUGUUUCCUUCUAUAUAUAUAUAUAUAUAUAUUCAAUAUAAUAUAUGUAUAUUCUUUUUAUUAUUAUUUUAAAUUUUAUUUAUUUUUAAUUGGGUUCCACAUGGAACCCAAUGUGGGGCUCGAACUCACAACCCUGAGAUCAAGACCUAAGCUGAGAUCAAGAGUCAGCUACUUAACUCACUGAGCUGCCCAGGUGCCCGGGAGCUCUAACCUAAAAUGUGAAGUGUGUUACCUCCAUAACCAAAGAGGCUUAACAGGUAGCCUUAUAUGUCCUUAUAUGUGAUAAGGGAUGCAAAAGGCAGGGGGAUAUCCCAGUAUUCACCUACUAUAAGAAUUCAAAAAAUAUUCCCAAAAUGAAUGGUCCCUGGAUAUUGAUAGGGUUUCUUCCCAGCUUCUGCAGCACAUAUUUUUUCUUUUUUUAAACUAAAAAUCUAGCCACCAGAAAGCUAGCCACCCUACUUUUUGCCACCCUGCUCAAUUAAAAAGAUGCUUUCACUAUAAUGAAUCAAUACAAUAUUAUGAAUGAUAUCAUGAUAGUCAUGAUGUGUUCUGACAAUUAUGACAGAGACCUGGAGAGUUAAAGUAGCAUCAGGCAAAAUUCUUAAGUGUAUAUUUUGUCAGUUGUGUGUGAGUGCAAACUGUUUCUGUUUUUCUUUUCUCUUUGGGAUAGGAAA